CAGCCGCCGCGGUAAAACCAGCACCUCAAGUGGUCAGGACGAUUAUUGGGCCUAAAGCAUCCGUAGCCUGCUUUGUUAGUUUUCGGUUAAAUCCAUACGCUCAACGUAUGGGCUGCCGGGAAUACUGCAAAGCUAGGGAGUGGGAGAGGUAGACGGUACUCGGUAGGAAGGGGUAAAAUCCUUUGAUCUAUUGAUGACCACCUGUGGCGAAGGCGGUCUACCAGAACACGUCCGACGGUGAGGGAUGAAAGCUGGGGGAGCAAACCGGAUUAGAUACCCGGGUAGUCCCAGCUGUAAACUAUGCAAACUCAGUGAUGCAUUGGCUUGUGGCCAAUGCAGUGCUGCAGGGAAGCCGUUAAGUUUGCCGCCUGGGAAGUACGUACGCAAGUAUGAAACUUAAAGGAAUUGGCGGGGGCGCAC
This 420-nucleotide ribosomal RNA is filed under the name uncultured Nitrososphaerota archaeon. RNAcentral describes it as "bacterial SSU rRNA". It matches the Rfam family "Archaeal small subunit ribosomal RNA", at positions 459 to 879 of the family's 1478-position model. Lineage: Archaea; Thermoproteati; Nitrososphaerota. The record is from RNAcentral.